Anas platyrhynchos (mallard) is the source of this 2089-nucleotide long non-coding RNA. RefSeq lists it as uncharacterized. Lineage: Eukaryota; Metazoa; Chordata; Aves; Anseriformes; Anatidae. The record is from RefSeq and is a predicted model, not a curated record.
AAUCUCUUCUUCCUCAUCUACAUCCUUUUUUCUGAGUGUUUCUCCAUACUACUGGAGACGAUUCAGUGAAGGCUACUAAAUAAAUAAAAACUUCAGUGGCUAACUGCAUUUUGAACAUGAUCAUGUUUCCCUCCUAUCUCUCUGUAAAAUAUCCCCUUACUCAUGCCGCUUUGCCCAUCACCUGUAAUGCAUUUUUCUCAUCCUCUCUUUCCUGCUGAGAUUGCUCUCAUGUUGACAGAAAUUAACUCCUUGUCUUCAAGGUCCUUUCUUCUACCUGAUCAAUAAUGGUCAUAGUUAUCUGCACUGUAUCAUUUCAGCUAAUGGCAAGGCAGUGGCUUGUGUUUAUUUUUAUCUCUUUAAAAUCUUAAAACAGUGGUGUCUAAUAAAUUUACUACAUAAUAGUGUAGCUAUUCUGUGCAUUCAGGUUACGUGUAUUACUGUUUAUGUAUGACUACUGUAUAAUGUGUAUAAACUCUGUGGUUUUAUGGACAAAGCCCUGCCAGCUUACGUCAAGGUAGCAGGCAUUGUGUAUGUACCGUGCCAUCUCUACUUGGAGAAGAAAUCUGGGAGACUGUUAUCUGGAGGAAGGGGAGUCUACUUAGUACAUGGUAAUUUUCCAUUUCUAUUGUACUAUUUGGUGCAUAUUUUGGCAAUUCCUUCUCAUUUUUUGGUGCUGCUAGUCAGUGCAUUACAUUUGUUUUCCUAGUGUCAUGACUUCAGACCUGGAGGUGUAACCCACGUUGGUGCCAGCUGUCAUCACUCCAGCAACAAAAACUUUCCUUCUUAAAUGGGAACUAAUUUUGAGAAGCAUUGCCUGGACUGGUCUGAACUUCAAGUAACAAGACGUGGCAGCUUCAUCAUGGAAAAGGGAGAAAAAAAAAAAAGAAAGAAAACAACAACAACAACAAAUCUUUGCCUGUGAUUAAAGUGCUUCUGGAUUAGGACACUCCAGUUUCCUGAUAAUCUCAAAACUUUGAUUGAGCUGCGUGAAGACAUCAACCACAGAACAAGAAAAAAGGGCAUGAUCUGAUGUUUGCUGAAACUAGAGAAAGAAGACAUUCAAUGCUCCAUGAAGAAACUCCAUUGAGACAUCCUCAUUUUCAUCCAGCCACUGAAUGACAAAUGGUUCAAACCACCUGAAUAUUAAAAACAAUCUUGUAAAGUACAUUCCAUAAAGAUCCUGAGAGAAGAGGUGCCACCCCACCCAGCAGUUUGGCACUUUAUGCCUCCAUAUUUGUUCUAGUUGCCAAAAAGUCUUUUAAUCCUAGAAAAAAAAUGUCACCAAAGGUACUGUUGCUACCAAAAUGUCUUUCAGGCUUCAUCUCCACACUAUUCUAAAUGGUCUACCCCAAUGAUGUAGAAUUUGCAGUUGCCAUCAGACAGAUGCACCCAUAUUUUGCAGGGGAUCAUAUUCAUAUUUAUUUUAAAAUGUCUCUUUUUUCAGUAUUGCUUCUUUUUAAACUUUUUUUAUUGUUGUUAUUUGCAUGUGAAAUAAUGUGGAGAAAGGUUUUCUUUAAUAAAAUGUCAGCUGUUCAAUUCUUAUUCAAUUUACUUAGAUUUUUUUGAAGCAGUGAAAGCUGCCCAAUCCUUUUGGCAAACCAGAAAACUUGCUGAAGAUUAAAGACUGUAAAUAAAUAUUGCUCAUACAAAAGUGGACGGUUGAAUAUAUUAAUUUCAGAAGGAAAGGUGAAAAUGAAAACAGCAGAUAAAUAUUAAUCAAUUGCAGUGACAAUAAUCUCAGUAAUGUAUCCCAUUAGUUUUGUAUCUUGAUCCAGAUUUGUGUAUGAAAUGAAUGCAGGGGUCAAGAACUAAUAUUGCUGCUGUUCUCACAUUUUCCUCCUUACUCAGGAAGUAAGUAGUUCAUUUCCUUACUCAGGAAACUUAACUAUUAACAGUUUUAAGAAUUAAUUUUACAGAAUGAAGAAUUAAAAAGGAUGAAGUGAAAAAAAGUAUAUUUAAAAUUAUUAGUGCUACACCUUUUGAUAUCUUGCACAAACUUGAGCAUAAAUUUUUGAAGAAAAUAAAUUGCACCAAGCCCAAACUCAUGGGAUACUUCCCUACACACUACUUACAGAGAGUAUUCAGGCAC